UGAUUUGUAGUAGAUCGAUCUAAUGCUCUAGAUUAGACCGACUGGAUGUCGGAUGCUACCGCAUAGCCAGCCCUAUAAGGAUUUAGAAUUUUUAUUUUGUAAAUAAUCAUGAUUAAAAUUUGUUAAAAGUAUAAUUUUGGAUAUUAGAUCUUAAAAGAUAAAUUUUUGAAGUUAUGUGGAUUUAUUGCAGCGUAUGUGAGGUAAGUAAUGAUCUACCUUCUCUAAAUCU
Molecule: long non-coding RNA, 229 nt
Filed under: Elaeis guineensis (African oil palm)
Lineage: Eukaryota; Viridiplantae; Streptophyta; Magnoliopsida; Arecales; Arecaceae
Description: long non-coding RNA (EGUI_LNC039422)
Source: RNAcentral